AUCCAGUGUUGUACAGUGGUUAGUAGGAUAGACCGUUGUGCGAUAGGGCGUGGGUUCGGUCCCCGCCGCGGAUA
Molecule: non-coding RNA, 74 nt
Organism: Perkinsus marinus ATCC 50983
Lineage: Eukaryota; Perkinsozoa; Perkinsida; Perkinsidae
Source: the annotation of a RefSeq genome assembly